AGACCCGAAACCCGGUGAUCUAGCCAUGGGCAGGUUGAAGGUUGGGUAACACUAACUGGAGGACCGAACCGACUAAUGUUGAAAAAUUAGCGGAUGACCUGUGGCUGGGGGUGAAAGGCCAAUCAAACCGGGAGAUAGCUGGUUCUCCCCGAAAGCUAUUUAGGUAGCGCCUCGUGAAUUCAUCUCCGGGGGUAGAGCACUGUUUCGGCUAGGGGGCCAUCCCGGCUUACCAACCCGAUGCAAACUGCGAAUACCGGAGAAUGUUAUCACGGGAGACACACGGCGGGUGCUAACGUCCGUCGUGAAGAGGGAAACAACCCAGACCGCCAGCUAAGGUCCCAAAGUCAUGGUUAAGUGGGAAACGAUGUGGGAAGGCCCAGACAGCCAGGAUGUUGGCUUAGAAGCAGCCAUCAUUUAAAGAAAGCGUAAUAGCUCACUGGUCGAGUCGGCCUGCGCGGAAGAUGUAACGGGGCUAAACCAUGCACCGAAGCUGCGGCAGCGAACGUAUCACUUAAAGCGAUUCAGCGGGUUACGAUUGACGGAGCGAAGCGACGUCAAAGCGUAUACAAAGUCGAGUCGGUUUAAGGAUACGUUCGUUGGGUAGGGGAGCGUUCUGUAAGCCUGUGAAGGUGGCCUGUGAGGGUUGCUGGAGGUAUCAGAAGUGCGAAUGCUGACAUAAGUAACGAUAAAGCGGGUGAAAAGCCCGCUCGCCGGAAGACCAAGGGUUCCUGUCCAACGUUAAUCGGGGCAGGGUGAGUCGACCCCUAAGGCGAGGCCGAAAGGCGUAGUCGAUGGGAAACGGGUUAAUAUUCCCGUACUUGGUGUUACUGCGAA
Molecule: ribosomal RNA, 834 nt
Filed under: Salmonella enterica
Lineage: Bacteria; Pseudomonadati; Pseudomonadota; Gammaproteobacteria; Enterobacterales; Enterobacteriaceae
Description: partial 23S ribosomal RNA
Rfam family: Bacterial large subunit ribosomal RNA
Source: RNAcentral